This is a small nucleolar RNA of Oryctolagus cuniculus (rabbit), 131 nucleotides long. The record is from Ensembl. NCBI's taxonomy places the organism in Eukaryota, Metazoa, Chordata, Mammalia, Lagomorpha, Leporidae.
AGGGUGCGCUCAGAGCAGGGGGCCUGAGGGAUGGCUCCUCUGUUUACACCGCACCCCACAGAAACCCGGGGUCAGGGUGACGAGGGGCACGCAGCGCACGGCCUCCCCCUCCCCACACACACCCCACAUGC